GGUAAAAUCCCUUCGACAACGCGCAGCUUGCAACUUGUCGUCGACGUAAUUUUUCGCUUCUCGAUCAAGGCCACAUUCCUCGGUCCUCGCAUUCGCAACUUUUAACGUCGUGGUACCGACACAUUUCGUCCUUUGAAGACUUGAACAGAGAGGCGGAUCCCCCGCUUUACGAUUCACGUUUCAGUUCACGAUUAUAAUUAAGGAACGAUCGACGGCUCGCACAAUGCGGUUCCGCUAUGUUUAACAUCGUACAACUUAUUGCGUAUUAUCGAUCAUUUUCAGAACGAGAGUGCAAUCGGUAUCAUAUAACUUCACGGCUCGACCUGCACGAGGAAAUUAAGGAAUGUCGAAAGCUUAGCUCUGAGAAGCGCACGUGCGUGAGAUUGUAAUCCCACACCCCGUGAUCCGUCGUACGGGGAUUUAUUGUUUCUAAAGCCGCGGUAUGAUAUCGAUUGCUCCGAUCGCAAAGUAUAAUAUUAUAAUUCAUAAGUAUUGGUGUAUCGUGUUAGAUCGACGUUAGAGGUCUUCAGCGCGAUUAAUAUAUCCGAUUGAACAAAUCCGUUUCUCUCGGAACAACGUUUAGAAUCUACCGAUUGGAACAUGAGUCCCUGGUGUGUGAAAUUUCAAUAUAUUGGGUCCCUGUAUUUAAAUACACCGUUUCCUCUCAUCCGGACUGAUCCCUGAUCAUCCCACACAUUCGCGAAUCUCUUACAUGACUUACAUUUAUACAUAUUAUGCGUGGAGAACUCUCUCUAUCGCAAGGGGAGGGGGGGGGGGGAAAGAAAAGAAAUGGAGCGUGUUCCGCGGCUACUUGUCUCUCAUUUCCUCUCCCUUUCUUUGCUAUCUAUACUUCGCACAAAUAAAAUUAUUCCGCUCGUCGGAGUCGGAAAGGGGGCGACGGGGAUAUCUCGUACAUCAAGGGCUAUACACAGUUUCGCUAUUAUCGUUUGUUAAUUUUCUUCUAACUAUGUAUUCUAUCGCCAAGCAGCGAGUCACACCUAUGUAAGUUAUCGUUUCAAUAUAUCCAUAUGCUUUAUAUGUAUAUGUAUAGAGUAUAUAUACUAGAGAUAUUAAUAUAUAUAUGUAUGAUACAUAUGAUAUAUUAAUAUGAGAUAUAACAUUAUCUAUGGUCACAGUGCAAACGAUUUCAGACGCGACGACUUGUGGAGCCGCAAACGCCGCCGGCAACACGGUAUUUGAGCUUCGAUUGAUCUAAUGACGAUCGGGACGCGAUUUCGAUGCCUACGCUGACUCGUCGUCGUCUAACAAAAUCAUUAGAUUCGCCACGAUCGCCAUCAUUGGAGACCACACGAGAUUCAUGAAAAGAGCUUCUGCAGCGGGGAAAACGCGAUGAUAAAUAACGUGUUAUACGAACUAAAAUGCAUUAUGUUUUGUAUUGCCGGGAAAUGGCAUAUAAACGCAUUCUUCCUCUAUCUGAUAUUAAUUAUAGCGCGGGUAGAAGAGGCACUUUCUCAUCUCGCUUAUUGUAUUACCUGUUUCCCUCUUACACUAUAAAUUUUAUAAUAUCAAAUUGUACAAAUUUUUCUUUUUCAAUUUUUCAAUCAGGUAGAUAAUUCAUUGCUGAAUUAAAUGACAUACGGACAUACAUUUUUGUUGUAAAACAAAAAUAUAAAUGGAAAUUAAUAAACAUCAUAUUUCAUAAAAA
Wasmannia auropunctata (little fire ant) is the source of this 1666-nucleotide long non-coding RNA. RefSeq lists it as uncharacterized. The transcript is spliced from 2 exons. The record is from RefSeq and is a predicted model, not a curated record. Lineage: Eukaryota; Metazoa; Arthropoda; Insecta; Hymenoptera; Formicidae.